CCUACGGGAGGCAGCAGUAGGGAAUAUUGGGCAAUGGGCGAGAGCCUGACCCAGCCAUGCCGCGUGCCGGAUGAAGGCCUUCUGGGUUGUAAACGGCUUUUCUCAGGGAAGAAAAAGAGGAUGCGUCCUAAACUGACGGUACCUGAGGAAUAAGCACCGGCUAACUCCGUGCCAGCAGCCGCGGUAAUACGGAGGGUGCAAGCGUUGUCCGGAUUUAUUGGGUUUAAAGGGUGCGUAGGUGGCCCGUUAAGUCCGGGGUGAAAGCCCACAGCUCAACUGUGGAACUGCCCUGGAUACUGGCGGGCUUGAGUCCAGACGAGGUUGGCGGAAUGGAAGAUGUAGCGGUGAAAUGCAUAGAUAUCUUCCAGAACCCCGAUUGCGUAGGCAGCUGACUAGGCUGGUACUGACACUGAGGCACGAAAGCGUGGGGAGCGAACAGGAUUAGAUACCCUGGUAGUCCACGCCGUAAACGAUGGAUACUCGCUGGUGGCGAUAGACAGUCACUGGCUUAGCGAAAGCGGUAAGUAUCCACCUGGGGAGUACGCUCGCAAGAGUGAAACUCAAAGGAAUUGACGG
This 576-nucleotide ribosomal RNA is filed under the name uncultured bacterium. RNAcentral's name for it is "bacterial SSU rRNA". It matches the Rfam family "Bacterial small subunit ribosomal RNA", at positions 338 to 916 of the family's 1533-position model. The record is from RNAcentral.